UUGCGGUAAAAAAGCUCGUAGUUGGAUUCCUGUUGAGGGCGACCGGUCCAUACCAUGUAUGCGCAUCUGGCUCGGCCUCGGCAUCCUCUCGAUAGACGUUUCUGCGCUUCAUUGCGUGGAGCAGAUUUCGGGACUUUUACUUUGAGGAAAUUAGAGUGUUCACGGCAGGCUAUCGCCAGAAUACAUUAGCAUGGAAUAAUACUAUAGGAUCUUGGUUCUAUUUUGUUGGUUUCUAGAAUUGAGAUAAUGAUUAAUAGGGACAAUUGGGGGCAUUCGUAUCAACACGUCAGAGGUGGAAUUCUUGGAUUGUGUUGCGACGAACUACUGCGAAAGCAUUUGCCAAGGAUGUUUUCAUUGAUCAAGAACGAAAGUAAGGGGAUCGAAGACGAUUAGAUACCGUCGUAGUCUUUACCAUAAACUAUG
This 423-nucleotide ribosomal RNA is filed under the name uncultured marine eukaryote. RNAcentral's name for it is "SSU rRNA". It matches the Rfam family "Eukaryotic small subunit ribosomal RNA", at positions 613 to 1041 of the family's 1831-position model. The record is from RNAcentral.